RNAcentral lists this ribosomal RNA (254 nucleotides) under uncultured bacterium. RNAcentral describes it as "partial 16S ribosomal RNA". It matches the Rfam family "Bacterial small subunit ribosomal RNA", at positions 524 to 776 of the family's 1533-position model. The record is from RNAcentral.
UACGUAGGGUGCAAGCGUUGUCCGGAAUUAUUGGGCGUAAAGAGCUUGUAGGCGGUUUGUCGCGUCUGCUGUGAAAUUUCGGGGCUCAACCCCGAACUUGCAGUGGGUACGGGCAGACUAGAGUGUGGUAGGGGGAGACUGGAAUUCCUGGUGUAGCGGUGGAAUGCGCAGAUAUCAGGAGGAACACCGAUGGCGAAGGCAGGUCUCUGGGCCACUACUGACGCUGAGAAGCGAAAGCAUGGGGAGCGAACAGG